This 854-nucleotide long non-coding RNA is filed under the name Stegodyphus dumicola. RNAcentral describes it as "uncharacterized LOC118204331, transcript variant X1". Lineage: Eukaryota; Metazoa; Arthropoda; Arachnida; Araneae; Eresidae. The record is from RNAcentral.
UUAAAUUUAGAAGUUCGCUUUCAUAUUUUUUUAUCUUAUACACAUAUAUUUUUUUAUCUUGUUGUGUAUUAAUACAUUAAAAGCUAUGCAUUCAUAUAUUUUGUACCUUAAAUGUAUGAUAGCUAAAUUUUAUUAUGUGUUUAAAAGAUUAUAGCAAAAUAUUUUGUUUUAUACAUAUUUGCAUUUGGUGGUAAAAUAUUUAGCACAGCAUACUUAGUGAUUUUAGAGGUGGUAAAAUAAUUUACCACUGCGUCAUCAAACCACAGUUUUACUAAAAUGUUUCAUUUUAGAAAUAGCACUUUGUUCGGCAAGGUACUUGAUUUAUUUGUACAUAUAUUUAUCUUAAUACAUUUUUAUAUACAUUUCAAUUAUUAUUAUUUCUAAUAUUAAUUAUUUUUAAUAUAAUGGAAAAUAUUUUACAUUUAUUUAGGCUUAUAUAAAUAUUUAUAUAUUUAGAAAUUAGAAUUAAAAUGUUACAUUAGCUAGAAUGCUAUAAAGGUAAUAUUUUGGUCAGUAUGUUCAAGUGAUUUCAAAUUUUAAGUAACUAAUUAAAUGUAAUGAAACAUUAGUUUAGGUAAACCCAUUGGAAAAAAAGACAAGAUUAACCACCAAUGAUGCUGUAGAGCUUUAUUUUGCACUACCUUAUUUCGAAAAUGAAGGCAACACAAAAGAGGAUUUACAAAAUUCAGAUUCCACAAACAUAUUUGAAGUCAACAAUAAUACAGUGGGUGAUCCCAAUUUCUUACCCCCAAACGGUGAAUCUGAUUGAAGAUGAUUUUUGAAAUGCAAGCAUUUAUCGUAUGAGUAAUAAUAAUAAGUCAGGUCAAUAACAUGUUUUUGAAAAAUGUAAAAAA